RNAcentral lists this ribosomal RNA (492 nucleotides) under uncultured bacterium. RNAcentral's name for it is "partial 16S ribosomal RNA". It matches the Rfam family "Bacterial small subunit ribosomal RNA", at positions 29 to 507 of the family's 1533-position model. The record is from RNAcentral.
AGUGAACGCUGGCGGUAGGCCUAACACAUGCAAGUCGAACGGCAGCACAGUAAGAGCUUGCUCUUACGGGUGGCGAGUGGCGGACGGGUGAGGAAUACAUCGGAAUCUACUUUUUCGUGGGUGAUAACGUAGGGAAACUUACGCUAAUACCGCAUACGACCUACGGGUGAAAGCAGUGGAUCUUCGGACCUUGCGCGAUUGAAUUAGCCGAUGUCGGAUUAGCUAGUUGGCGGGGUAAAGGCCCACCAAGGCGACGAUCCGUAGCUGGUCUGAGAGGAUGAUCAGCCACACUGGAACUGAGACACGGUCCAGACUCCUACGGGAGGCAGCAGUGGGGAAUAUUGGACAAUGGGCGCAAGCCUGAUCCAGCCAUACCGCGUGGGUGAAGAAGGCCUUCGGGUUGUAAAGCCCUUUUGUUGGGAAAGAAAAGCAGCAGGUUAAUACCCCGCUGUUCUGACGGUACCCAAAGAAUAAGCACCGGCUAACUUCGUG